This is a non-coding RNA of Cinara cedri, 301 nucleotides long. The record is from the annotation of a GenBank genome assembly. NCBI's taxonomy places the organism in Eukaryota, Metazoa, Arthropoda, Insecta, Hemiptera, Aphididae.
AUUUUUAAAUAACACGUAUCACUCUUGACUAUUUUUUUUUUAUCAUUAUUAUUAUUCUCUACGGUCACCGCGCUGCUUGCAUGUCGGUUGUUAAUCAAUAUGAUGUGAAAAAAAAUAAAUAAAUCGCACCUUUAUUAAAUAAUUUUUGUUUCGUAAAAUAUAUAAUUUCCCGGGUCCAAUCAAAAAUGCUAACCACGCAAAUACCGUUACAUUCGUGUUUUUUUUUUCCCGUUUACAGUGUUACACGAAUAUAAUAUGAUUGAUAUAUUGUGUUUUACACCCGUAUAUAUACGCACAUUAU